AUUCCAGCUCCAAUAGCGUAUAUUAAAGUUGUUGCAGUUAAAAAGCUCGUAGUUGGAUUUCUGGUCUGAUGCCCUGGCCCGCGUCCGAUUUCGGAGUGAGUGCCGGCUGUGCGUCUACCAUCCUUCUAGAAAACGGAUCUACCCUUCACUGGGCCGGGUUCGCGAUCUAGAUCUUUUACUGUGAGAAAAUUAGAGUGUUUCAAGCAGGCAAUUGCAGGAAUACAUUAGCAUGGAAUAACGAAUGGGUCUACAAUUUGGUUGAUUGUAGAUUGCGAUUGAUAGGGACAGUUGGGGGCAUUAGUAUUUAAUUGUCAGAGGUGAAAUUCUUGGAUUAGUUAAAGACUAACGUAUGCGAAAGCAUUUGCCAAGGAUGUUUUCAUUG
This 382-nucleotide ribosomal RNA is filed under the name Loxophyllum sp. Its description in RNAcentral is "partial small subunit ribosomal RNA". It matches the Rfam family "Eukaryotic small subunit ribosomal RNA", at positions 582 to 975 of the family's 1831-position model. The record is from RNAcentral. Lineage: Eukaryota; Ciliophora; Litostomatea; Pleurostomatida; Litonotidae.